UCUAAUAUGGCAGAGAAGUGCGAUGGAUUUAAACCCCAUACACAAAAGUUGACCUUUUUUUUAGAA
RNAcentral lists this transfer RNA (66 nucleotides) under Bisnius sordidus. RNAcentral describes it as "tRNA-Leu". It matches the Rfam family "tRNA". Rfam says of the family: Transfer RNA (tRNA) molecules are approximately 80 nucleotides in length. Their secondary structure includes four short double-helical elements and three loops (D, anti-codon, and T loops). Further hydrogen bonds mediate the characteristic L-shaped molecular structure. tRNAs have two regions of fundamental functional importance: the anti-codon, which is responsible for specific mRNA codon recognition, and the 3' end, to which the tRNAs corresponding amino acid is attached (by aminoacyl-tRNA synthetases). tRNAs cope with the degeneracy of the genetic code in two manners: having more than one tRNA (with a specific anti-codon) for a particular amino acid; and 'wobble' base-pairing, i.e. permitting non-standard base-pairing at the 3rd anti-codon position. The record is from RNAcentral. Lineage: Eukaryota; Metazoa; Arthropoda; Insecta; Coleoptera; Staphylinidae.